GACUGCGUAGCUCAGUUGGAAGAGCAUUGGGCUAGUAUUCCGAAGGUCGUAGGUUCGAAUCCUACCGUGGCCG
This 73-nucleotide transfer RNA is filed under the name Paramuricea clavata. It matches the Rfam family "tRNA". From Rfam's summary of the family: Transfer RNA (tRNA) molecules are approximately 80 nucleotides in length. Their secondary structure includes four short double-helical elements and three loops (D, anti-codon, and T loops). Lineage: Eukaryota; Metazoa; Cnidaria; Anthozoa; Malacalcyonacea; Plexauridae. The record is from Rfam by way of RNAcentral.